This 620-nucleotide ribosomal RNA is filed under the name uncultured bacterium. RNAcentral's name for it is "bacterial SSU rRNA". It matches the Rfam family "Bacterial small subunit ribosomal RNA", at positions 28 to 641 of the family's 1533-position model. The record is from RNAcentral.
AAUGAACGUUGGCGGCGUGGAUUAGGCAUGCAAGUCGUGCGGGAUCCUUUGGAUUGAAGCUUCGGCCGAUUUCUAAGGGUGAGAGCGGCGAAAGGGAGAGUAACGCGUGGAUACCUACCUCGGGACCCGGGAUAGCGUCGGGAAACUGGCGGUAAUACCGGAUAAUGUCUCCGGACCAAAGGUGUGAUUCCGUCUUGAGAUGGGUCCGCGUCCUAUUAGCUUGUUGGUGGGGUAAUGGCCUACCAAGGCUACGAUGGGUACCGGGUGUGAGAGCAUGGCCCGGCUCACUGGGACUGAGACACUGCCCAGACACCUACGGGUGGCUGCAGUCGAGAAUCUUUGUCAAUGGACGAAAGUCUGAACAAGCGACGCCGCGUGCAGGAUGAAGGCCUUCGGGUUGUAAACCGCUGUCAGAGGGGAGCAAAUACAUAAGGGCACUCUCUUAUGUUUGAGCGGUCCUCAGAGGAAGUACGGGCUAAGUUCGUGCCAGCAGCCGCGGUAACACGAACCGUACAAACGUUAUUCGGAAUCACUGGGCUUAAAGAGUUCGUAGGCGGCAUGGUAGGUGGGGUGUGAAAUCCCUCGGCUCAACCGAGGAACUGCGCCCCAAACCAUCAUGC